GGGUUGUGAGGUUAAGCGACUAAGCGUACACGGUGGAUGCCCUGGCAGUCAGAGGCGAUGAAGGACGUGCUAAUCUGCGAUAAGCGUCGGUAAGGUGAUAUGAACCGUUAUAACCGGCGAUUUCCGAAUGGGGAAACCCAGUGCAAUUCGUUGCACUAUCGUUAAGUGAAUACAUAGCUUAACGAAGCGAACCGGGGGAACUGAAACAUCUAAGUACCCCGAGGAAAAGAAAUCAACCGAGAUUCCCCCAGUAGCGGCGAGCGAACGGGGAGGAGCCCAGAGUCUGAAUCAGCGCGUGUGUUAGUGGAACGGUCUGGAAAGUCCGGCGGUACAGGGUGAUAGCCCCGUACACUAAAAUGCACACGUUGUGAACUCGAAGAGUAGGGCGGGACACGUGGUA
Molecule: ribosomal RNA, 400 nt
Filed under: Klebsiella ornithinolytica
Lineage: Bacteria; Pseudomonadati; Pseudomonadota; Gammaproteobacteria; Enterobacterales; Enterobacteriaceae
Description: bacterial LSU rRNA
Rfam family: Bacterial large subunit ribosomal RNA
Source: RNAcentral